CUCAAAGAUUCGAAUAGCACCUACAUCUACUCCAUCGCUUCUUAUAGUCCACUAUCAUCUCGCUGAAAUUAUCCACAAAAUCACUUUAAGUCACCAUCCCUAAUUUGAGCUACCCAAAAAAUUUAGACAGCUUUAUUGAACUCGCAGAUAGCAAAAAUCCCUAGAUUGCUGCAGCAAUUGCUAGCAAGAAUAGAGAAAAUUGGCCGUGAAUUUUGGGGAAAGCCAGAGUUCGAAAACUGAAUCUUAAGAAAAACAAGAGCUAAAGGAGUGAAGGCAUAAUUUGAGUAAUACUGAUGCAAGUGGAGGUGAUAAAUUUGUGGAAUACGAGGAGGAGGAGGAAGAAGAAGUAGAGGUUGGAUUUGGGUCGAGUGGUUUUUUGUUUAGAGGUGGUGGAAAUGGUGAUAGUUGGCCUUUGCCGUUACCGUGGACUCAUUGCUCCAGCCUACCCCUUAUGGCUUUGUGGUUACUGAUGUUUUAGAGACUGACCACCCCAUUAUUUAUGUCAAUUCUAUGUUUGAGAUGGUCACUGGUUACCGGGCCGAAGAGGUCCUCGGCCGCAAUUGGAGCAACAAUUUGAAACAAGAGGGCUAUGUGAGGGUUCGAUUGCCCAAAUGAAAGAGUUACGCAGAUGACAAACUACUAUACAGUCCAACUUGAUAUUGAUCAUGAGGAUGCCGUUGGACAUGAUGAUAGAGAUGGUUGAAGUCUAACAUUGGUGCUGUAGUCGAUGCUUUAGUGUAGAAAUCUAGUACUCUAUUUUUUGGGAAGGAUAUGUAUUGGCAAUUAGUGCUUGAAUUGAUUAUGUGGGAUUUGGGACCCAAUGUUUUUGGUUUACUUUUGUUUUGAUGAAUUUAUAGAUGUUUAUGGCCAUAUACAUGAAUUUGUGGCUUCAUUCUGCGUUAAUUUUGUCUUUCGUCAAAUUGAAUGUUUUGCUAUAAUUUGUUGGAAAUGCUAUGGCAAUAUUGUAUUCGUAAAGGUCAAUUUCAGCUCUUCAAAAUAAAGCUCAGUGACAACCUUCGAAGGUUGUCACUGUAGACUUCAAAUUUGUGACGACUUUUGCUAUAUUUAUGACAAAAACAUAGGUGAAAUACUGACAA
Coffea eugenioides is the source of this 1097-nucleotide long non-coding RNA. RefSeq lists it as uncharacterized. The record is from RefSeq and is a predicted model, not a curated record. The transcript has 4 exons. NCBI's taxonomy places the organism in Eukaryota, Viridiplantae, Streptophyta, Magnoliopsida, Gentianales, Rubiaceae.